AUGAAAUUGUAAGAGAGGCCUUGCUCUGCAAGGCAACCUCCAGCAGGAGGCCGAUUGGUGGUCCGGUAGCAGUGGGUAGGUGGAGAUGGUGGUGGGUGUCUGGUCUUUUGCUAUUUUUGGCUUUUUUUGCUUUGCUACUUUGGGAAAAGAGCGGGGAGGGGUUAAUCGACUGAACCCCCAUCCUAAAACCCCAUCAUGUCCCAUCUUGGAUAGUGGAAGGGUUGCCUGAUUUUGGGAUAAGGAAACUGGGGUGUUCAUUAAUUGGGGAUGUAAUGGAUGUGACCUUUGGGGUCUUUUCGAUUGAAGAGGGAGGGGAUUGCACUCCAUUGCCAUGACUGUCUUUUGGGAUUUCUCCAUUAGAGGGAGAUGCAGUAGUUGUGGUAGGGGUAGAAUAGGUGGUGAUAAUUGGUUUGGGUUGUUCGUUGACGGUGGAGCCUGG
This 439-nucleotide long non-coding RNA is filed under the name Nicotiana benthamiana. RNAcentral describes it as "long non-coding RNA (NBEN_LNC019658)". Lineage: Eukaryota; Viridiplantae; Streptophyta; Magnoliopsida; Solanales; Solanaceae. The record is from RNAcentral.